Molecule: long non-coding RNA, 861 nt
Organism: Erpetoichthys calabaricus (reedfish)
Lineage: Eukaryota; Metazoa; Chordata; Cladistia; Polypteriformes; Polypteridae
Exons: 3
Source: RefSeq, a predicted model, not a curated record
CGUUACUUCCGUUUGCUGAAAGAAGGCCUUGUUGUCACAGUACGUGAAGUAAAGAACAUUAAUUGUGUCAUUACAAUGCAACAUGACAACUGGUGUGAUGCAUUAGGCAGCGAAUUAAAAUUCAGUUCUUGAAAGUGAUGUGUUAGAAGCGGGAAAAAUGAGAAGGCUCCUGCAACGGACCGCCGGAAAACUAAUAAUGAAGUUAAGAUCAUGUUGAUGGCCAGGUGCAUGUACGUCGUUUAUGGGCAUGCCUAGGCUCCUGUCAUGCCGACAAAACAGCUUUCAGCCUUUGAGGCAUGAACUCCACAAGACUCCUGAAGGUGUCCUGUUGUAUCUGGCACCAAGACGUUAGCAGCACAUCCUUUAAGUCUUGUAAGUUGCAAGGCAAGCAGAAAAUGUGCUGUAAUGGAUAAGAUGUUGGAUUUUAAACUGCAGGAAAGCCUUCAACUGUAUGCUCCCAAGCAAAUUAUUUAACUUCCCAAGCUCCAGUUUGUGCAAACAUUUACAAUUUAUCUUGUUCUUGUAAGUCACCUUGAGUAAUGCCAUCUGCAAAAUAAUCUAAACUAUAUAUCAAAAAAUUAAAGGAUAUGUGAAAACAAUAUUAAAUGUAUAUCAAAUAGGAAAUACAUGCUGUAUAAUUUAAAGCAAAAAUAUGUUAUCUGUUAUUUUUUCCCAAAAUGAAAGAUGAUUAUUUUUAAAAAUUCUGAAGGUUUAUUUUGUGUAUACCGGUAUGUUUCACUUUGGUCCUGUUUGCUAUUAUUGCCAAUUAUGUUCAGGUUGCACAGGCUAUGGUUAUUCUUAUCAUAAUCUCUAUUUUCUCAGAGUAAAGUGAGGAAAAUCUGGAAACAACAACAUUAAAGA